Molecule: unclassified non-coding RNA, 1807 nt
Filed under: Monomorium pharaonis (pharaoh ant)
Lineage: Eukaryota; Metazoa; Arthropoda; Insecta; Hymenoptera; Formicidae
Description: gamma-glutamyl hydrolase, transcript variant X1
Source: RNAcentral
CUUUAUUAUACAAUCAAGAGCGCGCACACUCUACCGUUAUCGUGUCGCUAGAGAGAAAAAUCUAUAAUUCUAUUAUAUUUUCAUAAUGACUACUCUGUGGACGAUUCUAUUUACGGCAUUUGUCUUUAUAGUCGUGAAGAUUGAAGGAGAGUCGAACGAUCGGCCAAUCAUCGGUAUUUUAACACAGGAGAUAGAUUAUAAUUUAAAUAAAAAAUAUCCCAAUCAGUAUCAUAGCUACAUCGCUGCAUCAUAUGUGAAAUUCGUAGAAGGUGCUGGCGCCCGACCUGUUCCGAUCUGGAUUGGCGAGAACGAUUCGUACUAUGAGGAUAUUUUGAGCAAAGUCAACGGAGUUCUCUGGCCAGGAGGUGCGACAUUUUUCUUUCAGAAGGAAGGAUACGCCGAUGCAGGCGCCACAAUUUACAGAAUUGCGAAGGAAAUCAACGACAGAGGCGUGUAUUUCCCAAUAUUUGGCAUCUGCCUUGGCUUCGAACUCUUGACGUAUGUCGCGGCAAAUCGUGUCGAGCAUAGAACGUUGUGCUUCGGCCAGAAUCAAAAUCUUCCGCUAGAAUUUACAGAUGAUUUUACAGAAAGCAAUUUGUUCAAAAACAUCACGCCGGAUGUCUUCAAGAUUUUGAGUGUGGAGAAUGUCACGGCAAAUUAUCAUCAAUUUUGUGUUACGAAGGAGAAUUUACGCAGUGUCAACUUAACCGAUGAAUUUCACGUAUUGUCACUGAAUCACGAUAAAAAAGGCUUGGAAUUCAUCUCCUCGUUGGAGCAUACACAGUAUCCGUUCUACGGAUUACAGUUUCAUCCAGAAAAGAACCUCUACGAGUGGGUGAUCGGCAGGAACAUUCCACAUGGAAUUAAUGCCACUAUAGCAACUCAAUAUUUUGCAAAUUUCUUCAUUAAUGAAGAUUUCUUUUUGGCGCAGCUCGUAAGAAUUCACAGAAAUUUGGGACAAAAGAAGAGGAAAAACAGAGUCUAAUUUACAACUACCCAGUUACUUAUACAGCGUUGCGAAAUUCGAGUUAUCAGCAAUGUUACAUGUUUAAGAAAAACGAUCGCAAUGGCUUCCUCAUAGAAAAUGAUGUAUAAAGUUUAGCGAAUGGAUUCGAUGGAUUUUUACUUGCGUGAGCGCGUGACAGAUGAAAACACAGGAUUUGUUAAUUUUUUUUACGGAAUAUCGUUAGUACGAUGAGACGGCACUGGGAGACACACAAACAAAAGAUUGGUACGCGUUAAUUUCCACAUUUAACAUAACACCAGUGUAUAUUGUGUCACAACUGGGAUACAUAAUAUUACAAUGGUGCAUAAUAAAAUUCUAUACAUAUUUUCGUUCUAUCUAAAGUAAAUAAUAUUUUUUUGAAUCUUUUUUUUUCCCUCACCACGUUUAUUUCGCUCUGAGCCGAAGCACCGGCUGUUAGUAUAUUUGUACGCAUGAUGUUGCGCUGCAAUUUUAAGUGUGACGUAAAAGUCGCAGAGGACGAUGGAAAACGACGGUGCUCAGGACACCGCCGCCGUUACAACGCCGACACUGUUAUACGCGCGAGUUCGCUUCGACCCAAAACGUCGAACGUUUGGAUUCUGACUGCCUGUCAUUAAUCUUCAUUUUUAUCUUUAAACAAGCACGAAACUAAACCUCUUAAAAGCAUGAAUCAACUCUUAGUUUUUAUCCUCGUAACGUAUGAUAGUAUCAUUAUUAAUAAUCAUAAUAAUUCAUAUAAACAUUAUUUCUAUUUUUAUUCCUUGUUACAUGUUCUUCUUAGCAAUGUUGUCGCACGGGAUGUGUAGGUCAAUUGCAGAGGAA